Molecule: ribosomal RNA, 253 nt
Filed under: uncultured bacterium
Lineage: Bacteria
Description: partial 16S ribosomal RNA
Rfam family: Bacterial small subunit ribosomal RNA
Source: RNAcentral
UACGAGUGCCUCAAGCGUUAUCCGGAAUCAUUGGGCGUAAAGGUUGUGUAGGUGGUCAUAUUAGUCUUCUGUUAAAUUCUUCGGCUUAACCGUGGGCAUGCAGAGGAAACGGUAUGACUCGAGGAUGCGAGGGGUCUGUGGAACUCAUAGUGUAGCGGUGAAAUGCGUUGAUAUUAUGGGGAACACCAAAAGCGAAGGCAGCAGACUGGAGCACUCCUGACACUGAAACAAGAAAGCGUGGGUCGCGAAUGGG